GGGAUAAAUCAUCCAUACACUCAUCACUCAAAAAAUCUACUUGAACCAAUGACAAGUACUUCAGGGAUUGGUAUGCACACAACAACUUAGAAAUACCAGAAUAUGUGAAAUCUGUACACCAACAAAGUGUAAGUGUAUUUAGAGGGAGAGAAGCAUUGGCCACCAUGAAGAGGAAUUCAUCCGUUAUAAUGGAAUUGGAAACUUCUAGUUUCUGUAAAGUUCGGCUAGAAGUAGCCAAACAUUCAAAACCAGAACUAGAUUGGGCAAUAUGAAUCUCAGACACUGAAAUCCAACUCAAAGCAGCACAAGUCCGCAGUAUAGAAAGGAUCCCUUUUACGGUAAUAAAAGGGCAAUCAUCCAUCUCAAGUCCUUCCAAAUUCAAACAAUUCAUAGAAAGCGCAACAAGCGACCUAUCAGUAAUCAAAUGAUUCCCAGAAAUAUUGAUCUUACGCAAAUUACUCAUAUUCACAGA
Molecule: unclassified non-coding RNA, 472 nt
Filed under: Hevea brasiliensis (rubber tree)
Lineage: Eukaryota; Viridiplantae; Streptophyta; Magnoliopsida; Malpighiales; Euphorbiaceae
Source: RNAcentral